ACCCCUCUCCCUUCCUUGGUUCAGCCGCCAUCAGCAAAGGAAAAAGAAGAAGAGGCGUGCACCUCUCCUUGGCCUCCUUCCUUGGUUCCAACGCAGGGAAGAAAAGAAAGGCUGCAGGGUAUUCGUUCUUCUUCCACUAUCCCUCCUUCUUCUUCCUCCUUUCAAGCACAUUCAAGAGUUGAAAGAAAGAGAGGAGAUCAGCCAUCAAA
RNAcentral lists this long non-coding RNA (209 nucleotides) under Phoenix dactylifera (date palm). RNAcentral's name for it is "long non-coding RNA (PDAC_LNC016943)". Lineage: Eukaryota; Viridiplantae; Streptophyta; Magnoliopsida; Arecales; Arecaceae. The record is from RNAcentral.